Long non-coding RNA from Megalobrama amblycephala (Wuchang bream), 1755 nucleotides. RefSeq lists it as uncharacterized. NCBI's taxonomy places the organism in Eukaryota, Metazoa, Chordata, Actinopteri, Cypriniformes, Xenocyprididae. The record is from RefSeq and is a predicted model, not a curated record. The transcript is spliced from 5 exons.
CAAAACCGUGACCCUAAACCGUGAUAAAACCGAACCGUGAGUAAUCUGAACCAUUGCACCCCUAAUAAUAAUAAUAAUAAUUAGUCAACUUAAAAUAGUCUUUUAAGUCCACCUCCUUGAAACUUAUCAAAUAAUUCACAAUUAUUGAAGAGAAUGUAAAUGCAGCCACUGCUAAAACCAUAAACUGAUCACCGGUCUGGACUUUUAAUGUACCAGCAGCUACAGUCUAAACAUUUCAAAAGUAGAAGUUUUCAGAAGGUUUUGCAGAAGUUUUCCAACAGCACCCAUUGUCCAAAUGAACAAGAUGAAUUAAUACACUGAAUGUUAUACCUGUAUUUAAAUCUCAUUCAAAUGAUUCCAAUCUUUGAUCAGUUAACUUCCUUUCUGCAUAAAUACUUAAAACAUUUCCACAAAACAGUUCCUUUCUGCAUAAAUAUUUGGCAUACAAACACAGAUGAGGAACAAAACACAGUCUACUCCAGGAGAGAAACUAGAGUUAGUUUGUUGGCAUCCUGAUGACACCGUAACUGUCUGAAAGUGUAAUCGAGAAUAUAGUAAGCUGCAUAAUGCACAGAAAAGAUGGACAAACCACUGAUGAUAUCUAUGAAAAUUAUGAUGGUAAAAUUAGAAAAGAGACCACAGACUCAACGCAAAGAAAAUCAUCUGAACUCACAGAAAGUGUUGGUGUGAUGAUCAGAAGCUCCAGAGCAGCUGCAGUGUGUUUGGUGCUGCUGUGUGUUCUUCUGCUGACUGCAGUCAUAGUGCUGUGUGUCAUGUUCACUCUAGAGAGACUACAGCUCAUAUCUAAGAAUGAAAACCUGACUAAUGAAAGAGACCAGCUAAAAUUCAAGAACAAAAAGCUGACCAAUGAGAGACACCAGCUAAGAAAUGAACUUCAGAUUUGUGCUGGAUGACUCGCUAUCAAUCCAGUUUUUACUACAUAUACUGUACAGAGAGAGGAGCAGAUCUGAUCAUCAUAAACAACAUAAAGGAUUUUGUUAAGAACAUGUCUGGUGCUACUGUAGUCUGGAUUGGUCUGACUGACAGUGGUGUGGAGAACACAUGGAAAUGGGUUGAUGGCACCAACAUGACCUCUGGGUUCUGGGCGUCUGGAUAGCCUAAUGGAGGCAGAGUAGAGAACUGUGUUGUGACUGUGGCUAAAUUGCCAGAGCGGCCUGGUUUAGUAGGGUGGAUUGAUCAACCAUGUGAUAAAACUUAUCAAUGGAUCUGUGAGAAGGGAAUUUCACAACUCAUAAUGCCAUAGGAACAUCACACAUCUUUUUGACACAAAUUUACAAAACAGUAUUUCCCAACCUUGCUCCUGGAGGCUGCCCACAACUGCACAUUUUGAAUGUCUCCUUUGUCAGACACCCAUUUCAUGUCCUGGAGUUUCUUGUAACGAGCUGAUGAGUUGAUUCAGGUGUGUUUAAUUAGGGAGACAUAUAAAAUAUGCAAAAUGGGACUCCAAAAGUGUGUUCCUUUCAACCAGAAAUGACCUGCAAGUGACUUCUCAGAGUAUUCUGCCAUAUCAUGUGAGAUUCCAGUCUGAAGGGAGUGAACAUCUUCUGCAGCACUUGAUUAAAAGCAAGCCUAUGUUGUUUUGUUUUGUGAGCGGUUUAAGAUUUCCUAACUACAGAUAAGAUGAGAUUUUGUAAGAUAGGAUAAGAAUCCUAAAUCAAUACACAUACACAUGUAUAUUACACAAAGGCAUGGCAAUUUAUAUGUGUUUGCAGAAAUAAAUUAUGGCAUCAAACC